UGUAUCAUUCGACAACUUAUGCCACAAC
Molecule: small RNA, 28 nt
Filed under: Bombyx mori (domestic silkworm)
Lineage: Eukaryota; Metazoa; Arthropoda; Insecta; Lepidoptera; Bombycidae
Description: ovarian small RNA-35468
Source: RNAcentral